RNAcentral lists this ribosomal RNA (232 nucleotides) under uncultured bacterium. RNAcentral describes it as "partial 16S ribosomal RNA". It matches the Rfam family "Bacterial small subunit ribosomal RNA", at positions 104 to 334 of the family's 1533-position model. The record is from RNAcentral.
CGGGGUGAGUAAUGCGUGGAUAACCUGCCUCACACUGGGGGAUAACAGUUAGAAAUGGCUGCUAAUACCGCAUAAGCGCACAGUACCGCAUGGUACGGUGUGAAAAACUCCGGUGGUGUGAGAUGGAUCCGCGUCUGAUUAGUUAGUUGGCGGGGUAACGGCCCACCAAGACAGCGAUCAGUAGCCGACCUGAGAGGGUGACCGGCCACAUUGGGACUGAGACACGGCCCAA